Molecule: long non-coding RNA, 229 nt
Organism: Herpailurus yagouaroundi (jaguarundi)
Lineage: Eukaryota; Metazoa; Chordata; Mammalia; Carnivora; Felidae
Exons: 2
Source: RefSeq, a predicted model, not a curated record
GUUCCUGCUGUCUCAGCCCUAAUACCCACUCUCAGUGGGGCCAUCUCAGAGCCUCAGGAGAAUUUGAAGUUUGAAGAGGACCCUGAACUGUGAAAAAUGGGCUGGGUGAUGUAAUAUAUUUAGAAAAGUUGUCUGAUAUGCGUAUUUGACUAAAUUCUUUCCCUGACCAAUCCUGUCCCCUCUAUUUUGUCUUUCCUCAUUCCCCCUGAUAAACCCAUCACAGUUCUGA